AUUGAACGCUGGCGGCAUGCUUUACACAUGCAAGUCGGACGAGUGGCGAACGGGUGAGUAACGCAUCGGAACGUACCGCGUCAUGGGGGAUCACUGUUCGAAAGGACAGCUAAUACCGCAUAUUAUUCGAGCGGCCGAUGUCUGAUUAGCUGGUUGGCGGGGUAAAGGCCAACCAGGGCGACGAUCAGUCGCGGGUCUGAGAGGAUGAUCGGCCAAAUUGGAAUUGAGACAGGGCCCAGAUUCCUACGGGAGGCAGAAGUGGGGAAUUUUGGAAAAUGGGCGCAAGCCUGAUCCAGCAAUGCCGCGUGUCUGAAGAAGGCCUUCGGGUUGUAAAGGACUUUUGUCAGGGAAGCGGUACCUGAAGAAUAAGCACCGGCUAACUACGUGCCAGCAGCCGCGGUAAUUC
RNAcentral lists this ribosomal RNA (406 nucleotides) under uncultured bacterium. Its description in RNAcentral is "partial 16S ribosomal RNA". It matches the Rfam family "Bacterial small subunit ribosomal RNA", at positions 30 to 526 of the family's 1533-position model. The record is from RNAcentral.